GAGUUUGAUCCUGGCUCAGAACGAACGCUGGCGGCGUGCUUAACACAUGCAAGUCGAACGUGAUCCAGAGCUUGCUCUGGUGAAAGUGGCGCACGGGUGAGUAACGCGUGGAUAACCUGCCCUGGUAUCUGGGAUAACAUCUCGAAAGGGGUGCUAAUACCGGAUAAGCCUACGGGCUCUUCGGAGUCUGCAGGAAAAGGAGGCCUCUAUUUAUAAGCUUCCGUAUCAUGAUGGGUCCGCGUACCAUUAGCUAGUUGGUGGGGUAAUGGCCUACCAAGGCGACGAUGGUUAGCUGGUCUGAGAGGAUGAUCAGCCACACUGGAACUGAGACACGGUCCAGACUCCUACGGGAGGCAGCAGUGGGGAAUUUUGCGCAAUGGGGGAAACCCUGACGCAGCAACGCCGCGUGAGUGAUGAAGGCUUUCGGGUCGUAAAGCUCUGUCAGAGGGGAAGAAAUGAAACGUGCUAAUAUCACGUUUUCUUGACGGUACCCUCAAAGGAAGCACCGGCUAACUCCGUGCCAGCAGCCGCGGUAAUACAAGGGCGMMYY
Molecule: ribosomal RNA, 550 nt
Filed under: uncultured Geobacteraceae bacterium
Lineage: Bacteria; Pseudomonadati; Thermodesulfobacteriota; Desulfuromonadia; Geobacterales; Geobacteraceae
Description: bacterial SSU rRNA
Rfam family: Bacterial small subunit ribosomal RNA
Source: RNAcentral